Molecule: ribosomal RNA, 439 nt
Filed under: uncultured bacterium
Lineage: Bacteria
Description: bacterial SSU rRNA
Rfam family: Bacterial small subunit ribosomal RNA
Source: RNAcentral
ACGCGAGGAACCUUACCAGGUCUUGACAUCCUCUGACACUCCUAGAGAUAGGACGUUCCCCUUCGGGGGACAGAGUGACAGGUGGUGCAUGGUUGUCGUCAGCUCGUGUCGUGAGAUGUUGGGUUAAGUCCCGCAACGAGCGCAACCCUUGAUCUUAGUUGCCAGCAUUAAGUUGGGCACUCUAAGGUGACUGCCGGUGACAAACCGGAGGAAGGUGGGGAUGACGUCAAAUCAUCAUGCCCCUUAUGACCUGGGCUACACACGUGCUACAAUGGAUGGUACAAAGGGCAGCAAAGCGGUGACGCCUAGCAAAUCCCAUAAAACCAUUCUCAGUUCGGAUUGUAGGCUGCAACUCGCCUACAUGAAGCUGGAAUCGCUAGUAAUCGCGGAUCAGCAUGCCGCGGUGGAUACGUUCCCGGGCCUUGCACUCACCGCCCGU